Long non-coding RNA from Macaca mulatta (Rhesus monkey), 3481 nucleotides. The record is from Ensembl. NCBI's taxonomy places the organism in Eukaryota, Metazoa, Chordata, Mammalia, Primates, Cercopithecidae.
AUGUUCCAGUUGGAACAUUGCUGGGCAGCGUGCAAACAGGAGCGAACGUCAGCCGGGGCGGCAGGGGGCAGCAGACCCCACACUUUGUCCAUGCCUCAGGUGGGAGGAAGUGUCCGGCUCCAGAAACCUGCCGCGGGCUUUAUCCCAAGCGACUUCAGCCAGCAGACGGUUCAUGUCCUGAGGCUGCAAAAUACGAGUUCUGCCAUCAUCGCUGACAAAGUCAUCCCAGUUUGUCUGCCAUCCCCAAAUUAUGCGAUCGCCAACCAGACUGAAUGUUAUGUCACUGGCUGGGGAGAAACCCAAGGUUUGAGUCCUAAAGGAUUUCCAGAGUGUGAGAACUCAGUGACACCUUCCCACAUGAAGGUUGAGGACUGUCUGCAGCCCUUGGUGGGACUUUGAUUGCUAACAUCAGUCCUUCUACUUAGAGUACUUCUUGUGCAGUCUUUGAUGCAAAGUAAUUUCGGAAGAAUUGCCUGAAGGAUGUUCAAUGGUGAUUACUGCUGAUUGUGGCCUGGGUAGGUGGAAAGGCUACUUAGAGGACCUAAUGCAGCAGGCUUAGCUCCCAGAGUUAUUCGUUAUUGGAACUUGGUUUUCAAAGUAGGUCAAAUGAAACUGAAAAACAUUUGGAAUAAUCCAUCACUGGUCAUGGACAGAGAAGGGUUCUAGAUGGGACUGGGCUGGAGAACCCCGCAGGCUUGCGGUGAGUUAUGAGUUGGUGCUCCCCUACCUACAGAUUCUUUAAAAGCAAUGUCCCUACAACUUACUGAACUGGAAUAUCAGCUCGGUGGAUUCCUUCUUCUCUGGCCACUCUUAGGGGACUGAGGGAUGGUUGGAUUCAGAAAAGGGCUUUUAAAAAUUCAGAGAAUUACCUUUUCUUACUGUGCUCUAACACCAAGAACCAGAGGACCUAUUCUUUUACAAAGGUCAAAUAAUCUUAGAAAAGGGGAUGCCUCCUUUUCUACAGAAAUGACAUUCUUUUCCAAGGAGCCUGGAGCUCCCCAAGUUUGUGGCACACCCUGCCUUCAGUAGCUCAUCAAGGUCUUUGUGUUAAAAUCCACAAUAUUUAGCAAGGCAGUCUCUCCCCGCCCCCUGUCAUCUGGCCCAGUCUAGUUUCCUCUCUCACCCCUCCCCCAGUUCUUCUCACCUGCUUAUUCGGGUCUAACCAGGUGCCUUAGUCAGCUUGGGCUGCCAUCACAAAAUACCACACACUCGGGGGUUGGUUUAAAUACCUUUAAUUUUCAUUGUUUUGGAGGCUGGAAGUCCAAGAUCAAGGUGUCAGCAGAUGCAGUGUCUGGUGAAAUCUCUCCCUGUGACUUUUAGAUGGCCUGACUCCUCACUGCACCCUCACAUGGCAUCUCCUCUGCUUCUGCAAGAAGGGAAAGGGACUCUGUGUGUGUGUGUGUGUGCGCGUGUGUGUGUGUGUGUGCACGCGCGCGUAGAGAUGGGUCUCAUCUUUUUCUUAUUGAGGCAUGAGUCCCAUCAUGAAAAUUUCAUCAUGGCCUCUGAUGGUCCAACUCCUCACUGCACCCUCACAUGGCAUUUCCUCUGCUUUCCUCAUGGCCUCUGAUGCCACAUGAGGACACAGUAAUAAGGGGUCACCAGAUGCAGGUCCCUUGACUGGGGGCCUCGCAGCUGCCAGAACUGUGAGAUGAUCCAUUUUUGUCCUUUAUUGAUUACCCAACCUGUGACAUUUUGUUACAGCAACACAAACAGACUGAGACAUAUGGAGAGGCUUCUCUUCCCACCCCUGUAGUGACUCCUUCUUUGCUAAAUUCAGUGAGCAUUUUUCAAUCCUUAUCUUUGUGAAAGGACAUUUUGCUAGAGUGGAGACUGGAGCUCAGAUAUUGCUGAUAAUCAGAGUUGGCGUGUCUCCCCAGUUGAUUUACAAUUGGGGCUUGGAUACUGUUUUAAACUUGGGAGGCGCCUCCUAAUCAUCUCGAUACAACCACUAAUGUGACUACACUAGAGAUAGACUCUUUCCACUUAAUUCUACCACUCUUGCUUUACUUCAUGAGAAUGAAAAUGUAAGAUUGCACCAUGAAUUCAUUUGGGGAAAGAUUGAUACUAUGCUUUUAUUUUAUUUUAUUUUAUUUUAUUUUAUUUUAUUUUAUUUUUUUGAGACAGAGUCUCGCUCUGUCACCCUGGUUGGAGUGCACUGGCGUGAUUUUGGCUCACUGCAACCUCCGCCUCCCGGGUUCAAGCGAUACUACGGCCUCAGCCUCCCUAGUAGCUGGAACUACAGGUACCCACCACCAUGCCUGGCUAGUUUUUGUAUUUUUAGUAGAGAUGGGGUUUCACCUCGAACUUUUCACCUCGUGAUCCACCAGUCUUGGCCUCCCAAAGUGCUGGGAUUACAGAGUUGAGCCACCGCACCUGGCCCUGUGUUUUAUUUUAGUUUUAAAAAUAUUUAUUUAUUUAUUUAGGCCUCACCUACUGGAAUGGGAAAGAUUGAUAUUUUAUUCAUUUUAUUUAGUAUUUAUUUAUUUAUUUUUCUUUUCUGAGACAGUCUUGCUCUGUCACCCAGGCUGGAGUGCAGUGGCACAUUUGUGGCUCACUGCAACCCCUACCUCCCAGGUUCAAGCGAUUCUAGUGCCUCAGCCUACUGAAUAGCUGGGAUGACCAGCAUGUGCUUCCACACCCAGCUAAUUUUUGUAUUUUUCAUAGAGACAGGGUUUUGCCAUGUUGCCCAGGCUUGUCUCAAAUUCCCGGCCUCAGGUGAUCCAUCUGCCUUGGCCUCCCCAAAUGCUGGGAUUAUAGGCAUGAGCCACCGCCCUCUCCUGGAAGGACUGAUAUCUUAUAACAUAAUUUAUAGUUACAGAAAACAUGUGAGUUCACUAGGAAUAAAGAAAUUUUGAAGAUAAUAAAAGAUUUUCACUUAUGUUGUAAUUUCGACACAGUUUGGUAUAGAAUGUGGAGAUUUUAACAUUUACACCUAGGUUGUUCAUAAACUAAGACCUGAAUGGGUUGUGUCUAUUAGCUGCACCCCUGAGUAUCCACACAAGCUUGGGAAGGCCUCAGCCCCCUCCUUGUACAGCAGGAAUGAGAACAGCACUGCCUGUUGGGAAGCUUGAGGGAGGCUAUGGAUGGCAGCACUUGGCAGAGGGUCUGGUCAUGGAAGGUACCAGCAAAUGUGAGCUACUUUUAUGAUUUUAUUUUAUCCAAAAUGAAGGGAAUAAGAGAGGAGGGAACAAGACUAAUCAGGAGAGAUGAAGAUCUGGGAGUGAGGGAAGGAGUAAGCAGAAAUGAAGGCAGCAUGGAGCAGCUGAGGGGGGAGAUGGCUUUCACCACUUCCCAGCAUCUAUUGACAUUCCACUCUCAAAUAUUUUGUAAGACUCUUUAUUCAAGGUAAUGUUUGAACCCUGCUGAGGCAGUGGCAUGGGUCUCUAAGAGAAUAAUUAACUUAAUUUGACUAUCUGGUUUGUGGAUGCGUUUACUCUCAUGUAAGUCAACAACAUUCUGGGAUGGGGACACACUUUCUGGG